UACAGAGGUCUCAAGCGUUGUUCGGAUUUAUUGGGCGUAAAGGGCGCGUAGGCGGCGGGGUAAGUCGGGUGUGAAAUCUCAGGGCUCGACCCUGAAACUGCACUUGAUACUGCUCUGCUUGAGGACUGGAGAGGAGACUGGAAUUCACGGUGUAGCAGUGAAAUGCGUAGAUAUCGUGAGGAAGACCAGUGGCGAAGGCGGGUCUCUGGACAGUUCCUGACGCUGAGGCGCGAAGGCCAGGGGAGCAAACGGG
RNAcentral lists this ribosomal RNA (253 nucleotides) under uncultured bacterium. RNAcentral's name for it is "partial 16S ribosomal RNA". It matches the Rfam family "Bacterial small subunit ribosomal RNA", at positions 524 to 776 of the family's 1533-position model. The record is from RNAcentral.